This 230-nucleotide ribosomal RNA is filed under the name uncultured bacterium. RNAcentral's name for it is "partial 16S ribosomal RNA". It matches the Rfam family "Bacterial small subunit ribosomal RNA", at positions 561 to 791 of the family's 1533-position model. The record is from RNAcentral.
UAAAGCGUGCGCAGGCGGUUUGUAAGUCUGAUGUGAAAUCCCCGGGCUCAACCUGGGAAUUGCAUUGGAGACUGCAAGGCUAGAAUCUGGCAGAGGGGGGUAGAAUUCCACGUGUAGCAGUGAAAUGCGUAGAUAUGUGGAGGAACACCGAUGGCGAAGGCAGCCCCCUGGGUCAAGAUUGACGCUCAUGCACGAAAGCGUGGGGAGCAAACAGGAUUAGAUACCCGUGU